UGUCCCUACAUUGGCUCCCUCUGUGGGUUGGUUGAAGAGAGCGGUCCGGUUUUAAAAUGCCGUGACGGGCCGUCCGGAGAAAGUUAGAAGAGAGGUGUGGGAGAAACUACGGCGAAUUUUGGUCCUGGUGAUCAUUGUCAAGUCUUCAGCAGAGGGUGGUUCCUGACAGAUGCGCUGUUUGGAGGAUUGUGUUGGCGGAAGCGGGACACCUGCCCACAAGCCCACAGCACCUGGGAUACAGCCUCAGGAGUGGCUGGAGCUGCUAUCUGAAAGACAGCAACCAGGAUGCAGCCCAGACGUGGCUCUGAAGAGUCCCAGUUCAGAUGAAACCAGUCUGCCGCUGUGAAGCGUCUCUACUGCUUGUUCAUCUAUGAGUGUCCUGAAAAGCUUUCAACUGUCUUAUUUUCUGAGAGUCAGACAAUAUACAAAAUAACCUUAAAAGGUUAGCACUAUGCAGCACAGACAUGUUAUCAGGGUGUUUUAGAAUGGAGAA
Molecule: long non-coding RNA, 493 nt
Organism: Lepisosteus oculatus (spotted gar)
Lineage: Eukaryota; Metazoa; Chordata; Actinopteri; Semionotiformes; Lepisosteidae
Source: RefSeq, a predicted model, not a curated record